This 2878-nucleotide ribosomal RNA is filed under the name Burkholderia sp. MSHR3999. RNAcentral's name for it is "bacterial LSU rRNA". It matches the Rfam family "Bacterial large subunit ribosomal RNA". Lineage: Bacteria; Pseudomonadati; Pseudomonadota; Betaproteobacteria; Burkholderiales; Burkholderiaceae. The record is from RNAcentral.
CAAGCGAACAAGUGCAUGUGGUGGAUGCCUUGGCGAUCACAGGCGAUGAAGGACGCGGUAGCCUGCGAAAAGCUACGGGGAGCUGGCAAACGAGCUUUGAUCCGUAGAUGUCCGAAUGGGGAAACCCACUCCUUAUGGAGUAUCCAUGGCUGAAUACAUAGGCCAUGUGAAGCGAACGCGGUGAACUGAAACAUCUAAGUAACCGCAGGAAAAGAAAUCAACCGAGAUUCCCAAAGUAGUGGCGAGCGAAAUGGGAUGAGCCUUGCACUCUUUAUUUGUAUUGUUAGCCGAACGCUCUGGAAAGUGCGGCCAUAGCAGGUGAUAGCCCUGUAGGCGAAAACAGUAUGAAAGAACUAGGUGUGCGACAAGUAGGGCGGGACACGUGAAAUCCUGUCUGAAGAUGGGGGGACCAUCCUCCAAGGCUAAAUACUCGUGAUCGACCGAUAGUGAACCAGUACCGUGAGGGAAAGGCGAAAAGAACCCCGGGAGGGGAGUGAAAUAGAUCCUGAAACCGCAUGCAUACAAACAGUCGGAGCCUCGUAAGGGGUGACGGCGUACCUUUUGUAUAAUGGGUCAGCGACUUACGUUCAGUAGCAAGCUUAACCGUAUAGGGCAGGCGUAGCGAAAGCGAGUCCGAAUAGGGCGUUCAGUUGCUGGGCGUAGACCCGAAACCAGGUGAUCUAUCCAUGGCCAGGAUGAAGGUGCGGUAACACGUACUGGAGGUCCGAACCCACUAACGUUGAAAAGUUAGGGGAUGAGCUGUGGAUAGGGGUGAAAGGCUAAACAAACCUGGAAAUAGCUGGUUCUCUCCGAAAACUAUUUAGGUAGUGCCUCGUGUCUCACCUUCGGGGGUAGAGCACUGUCAUGGUUGGGGGGUCUAUUGCAGAUUACCCCGCCAUAGCAAACUCCGAAUACCGAAGAGUGCAAUCACGGGAGACAGACAUCGGGUGCUAACGUCCGGUGUCAAGAGGGAAACAACCCAGACCGCCAGCUAAGGUCCCCAAAUAUGGCUAAGUGGGAAACGAAGUGGGAAGGCUAAAACAGUCAGGAGGUUGGCUUAGAAGCAGCCACCCUUUAAAGAAAGCGUAAUAGCUCACUGAUCGAGUCGUCCUGCGCGGAAGAUGUAACGGGGCUAAGCCAUAUACCGAAGCUGCGGAUGCGAGCUAGUCUCGCAUGGUAGGAGAGCGUUCCGUAAGCCUGCGAAGGUGCCUUGUAAAGGGUGCUGGAGGUAUCGGAAGUGCGAAUGCUGACAUGAGUAGCGAUAAAGGGGGUGAAAGGCCCCCUCGCCGUAAGCCCAAGGUUUCCUACGCAACGUUCAUCGGCGUAGGGUGAGUCGGCCCCUAAGGCGAGGCAGAAAUGCGUAGCUGAUGGGAAGCAGGUCAAUAUUCCUGCACCGUCGUUAGAUGCGAUGGGGGGACGGAUCGCGGAAGGUUGUCCGGGUGUUGGAAGUCCCGGUCGCUGCAUUGGAGAAGGCGCUUAGGCAAAUCCGGGCGCAGGAUUCAAGGGUGUGGCGCGAGCUCCCUCGGGAGCGAAGCAAUUGGAAGUGGUUCCAAGAAAAGCCUCUAAGCUUCAGUCUAACGAUGACCGUACCGCAAACCGACACAGGUGGGCGAGAUGAGUAUUCUAAGGCGCUUGAGAGAACUCGGGAGAAGGAACUCGGCAAAUUGGUACCGUAACUUCGGGAUAAGGUACGCCCUUGUAGCUUGACUGGCCUGCGCCAGGAGGGUGAAGGGGUUGCAAUAAACUGGUGGCUGCGACUGUUUAAUAAAAACACAGCACUCUGCAAACACGAAAGUGGACGUAUAGGGUGUGACGCCUGCCCGGUGCCGGAAGAUUAAAUGAUGGGGUGCAAGCUCUUGAUUGAAGUCCCGGUAAACGGCGGCCGUAACUAUAACGGUCCUAAGGUAGCGAAAUUCCUUGUCGGGUAAGUUCCGACCUGCACGAAUGGCGUAACGAUGGCCACACUGUCUCCUCCCGAGACUCAGCGAAGUUGAAGUGUUUGUGAUGAUGCAAUCUACCCGCGGCUAGACGGAAAGACCCCAUGAACCUUUACUGUAGCUUUGCAUUGGACUUUGAACCGAUCUGUGUAGGAUAGGUGGGAGGCUAUGAAACCGGAACGCCAGUUUCGGUGGAGCCGUCCUUGAAAUACCACCCUGGUUUGUUUGAGGUUCUAACCUUGGCCCGUGAUCCGGGUCGGGGACAGUGCAUGGUAGGCAGUUUGACUGGGGCGGUCUCCUCCCAAAGCGUAACGGAGGAGUACGAAGGUACGCUAGGUACGGUCGGAAAUCGUGCUGAUAGUGCAAUGGCAUAAGCGUGCUUAACUGCGAGACCGACAAGUCGAGCAGGUGCGAAAGCAGGUCAUAGUGAUCCGGUGGUUCUGUAUGGAAGGGCCAUCGCUCAACGGAUAAAAGGUACUCUGGGGAUAACAGGCUGAUACCGCCCAAGAGUUCAUAUCGACGGCGGUGUUUGGCACCUCGAUGUCGGCUCAUCUCAUCCUGGGGCUGUAGCCGGUCCCAAGGGUAUGGCUGUUCGCCAUUUAAAGAGGUACGUGAGCUGGGUUUAAAACGUCGUGAGACAGUUUGGUCCCUAUCUGCCGUGGGCGUUGGAUAUUUGAAGGGGGCUGCUCCUAGUACGAGAGGACCGGAGUGGACGAACCUCUGGUGUACCGGUUGUGACGCCAGUCGCAUCGCCGGGUAGCUAUGUUCGGAAGAGAUAACCGCUGAAAGCAUCUAAGCGGGAAACUCGCCUUAAGAUGAGAUAUCCCUGGGGACUUGAUCCCCUUGAAGGGUCGUUCGAGACCAGGACGUUGAUAGGUCGGGUGUGUAAGCGCAGUAAUGCGUUCAGCUAACCGAUACUAAUUGCCCGUAAGGCUUGAUCC